This 495-nucleotide ribosomal RNA is filed under the name uncultured bacterium. Its description in RNAcentral is "partial 16S ribosomal RNA". It matches the Rfam family "Bacterial small subunit ribosomal RNA", at positions 28 to 507 of the family's 1533-position model. The record is from RNAcentral.
GACGAACGCUGGCGGCGUGCCUAAUACAUGCAAGUAGAACGCUGAAGGAGGAGCUUGCUCUUCUGGAUGAGUUGCGAACGGGUGAGUAACGCGUAGGUAACCUGCCUGGUAGCGGGGGAUAACUAUUGGAAACGAUAGCUAAUACCGCAUAACAGUAGAUGUUGCAUGACAUUUUCUUAAAAGGUGCAAUUGCACCACUACCAGAUGGACCUGCGUUGUAUUAGCUAGUUGGUGGGGUAACGGCUCACCAAGGCGACGAUACAUAGCCGACCUGAGAGGGGGGUCGGCCACACUGGGAGUGAGAAACGGCCCAGACUCCUACGGGAGGCAGCAGUAGGGAAUCUUCGGCAAUGGACGGAAGUCUGACCGAGAAACGCCGCGUGAGUGAAGAAGGUUGUCGGAUCGUAAAGCUCUGUUGUAAGAGAAGAACGAGUGUGAGAGUGGAAAGUUCACACUGUGACGGUAUCUUACCAGAAAGGGACGGCUAACUACGUG